GCGUCGUCUUCAGAGUUUGAUCCUGGCUCAGGAUGAACGCCGGCGGCAUGCCUAACACAUGCAAGUCGAACGAAGCGAUUUGGAAUGAGACUUCGGUUGAAUGAAGAAUUGACUUAGUGGCGGACGGGUGAGUAACGCGUGAGUAAUCUGCCUUAGAUGGGGGAUAACGCUCCGAAAGGAACGCUAAUACCGCAUAACAUAACCGGAUCGCAUGAUCUGGUUAUCAAAGAUUUAUUGCUUUAAGAUGAGCUCGCGUAUGAUUAGCUAGUUGGUGAGGUAACGGCUCACCAAGGCGACGAUCAUUAGCCGGACUGAGAGGUUGAACGGCCACAUUGGGACUGAGACACGGCCCAG
Molecule: ribosomal RNA, 354 nt
Filed under: uncultured bacterium
Lineage: Bacteria
Description: bacterial SSU rRNA
Rfam family: Bacterial small subunit ribosomal RNA
Source: RNAcentral